UUUUUCUUUUUAGGUCGUGAAGCUCCAAUCUUCACCCUACAGCCUGAACCUCACAGCAGAGAGGAGUUUUUACAAUACUUCUGUCCACUCACUCUGGACAUCAACACGACUCACAGAGACCUCCGUCUGUCUAAAAGGAACAAGAAGGUGACCAAGGUGAAGAAAGACCAAACAUCCUGAUCAUCCUGACAGAUUUCACCACUAUGUCCAAGUUCUGUGCAGAGAGGCUCUGACUGGGACUCGCUCUUACUGGGAGGUGGAGUGCACUGGAGACUUCAUAGUGAUAGGAGUCGCAUAUAAAGGACUGGGAAGGAAAGGAAAGGGUAUGGAGUACUGCCUUGGAGACAAUGAGAAAUCCUGGAGUUUGUUGUGUUUUAAUUCCAAAUACUCAGUGCAUCACAAUAACAAGCAGACUGUAAUCAGCGCCCCCUACAGCCCUAGAAUAGGUGUGUAUCUGGACUGGCCUGCUGGCUCGCUGUCAUUUUAUAGCGUCUUACACACAAUGACCCUCCUGCACAGGUUCAACACCUCCUUCACUGAGCCCCUCUAUCCAGGGUUAGGGCUCGUUUGGGACUCCGGUGUUACAAUCUGCCAUCUGACACCAGGUGACCACUGACGUAUAACAGUAGACUAGCUCCUCCUACUGGGCACAGAAGCUCAGGUCUUAACAAAUAGACAUUGUCUCAAAGCAGCUUUACAGAGGAACACAAAUAUCUGUACAUAUGUUAUAUAAGUAUAUAUUUUCCCCAAUGAGCAAGCCUGUGGCGAUGGUGGCAAGGAAAAACUCCCAGAAAUGACAAAAGGAAGAAACCUUGAGAGGAACCAGACUCAAAAGGGAACCCGUUCUCAUCUGGGUGACACUGGAGAUGUGUGUUUACAACAGCUCUAGAAAUGUGUGUUAUAUGGGCAGACAUAAAACAGUCUGGUUACUAGUACAGGACUUUCUAAAAGGUGAUCUAAGUCCAUAGUCACUGUGAAAAAAACUGCAGCAGUCAGCUCAGCAGCCCACGCCAUCUUUAACAGGAACGAGUGAAUAUCAGGAGAUGAGCUGGAAGCCAGAGGAAGGACAUCGGGAUGGGUCUGGUCAGGCCUGGAUUGUAGAUCAGGACAGGAUCACUGGUACCUCAGGAAUAGCUCAGCAGAGAGAGAGAGCGAGAGAGUGAGAGAGAAGAAAAGAAAAGAGAAGGACAGAAUGAUUAGGUACGUUCAUGUCAUAAACUGGUUGCUUUCAAUUUAUGGCGUGCGCUGAGUGCAAGCAGGGACUCCGGCAAGACUAGCUAUGACAGCAUAACUAAAAGGGAGAACCAGAAGGUAACACAGACAUGAGGGAUCCCUACGACGUAAGGCACCCGCCACUUCACCGUCACAAACCUGAGUGAACUCACAAGAGUGGAAGAGCGACAGCGUCCAAACAUCUCAGUUUACCAAAACACUCAAUGCCUGAGAACCCACCAGAUCUGCUCCUUUACCUAAUACAGCUGUUAACAAAAGGCUUGGUUAAAUAGGUGAGUCUUCAGCCUAGACUUAAACACUGAGACUGUGUCUGAAUCCUGAACACUGACUGGAAGGCUGCUCCAUAGAUCUGGGGCUCUAUAAGAGAAAAAUAUGCUCCCUGCAGUGACCUUUACUAUUCGAGGUACCAUCAAGUAGCCAGCACCUGUGGAUCUAAGUAGGCGUGGGGGAUCAUAAGAGACCAGAAGCUCACUCAAGUACUGUGGUGCCCGACCAUUUAGUGCUUUAUAGGUCAGCAGUAGUAUUUUAUAAUUUAUGCGAAAUUUGAUUGGGAGCCAUUGUAGUGUAGAUAAGAUAGGGGUGAUGUGCUCGUAUUGUCUUGUUCUAGUAAGGACUAGCUGGAGUUUGUUUAUGAUCCUAUUUGAACAUCCAGACAGUAAGGCAUUACAAUAAUCUAACCUAAAGGUAACAAAGGCAUGAACCAAUUUUUCUGCAUCCUGCAGUGACAUCAUACUCCUGAUCUUAGCAAUAUUUCUGAGAUGGAAAAAUGCGGUUCUAGUCAUAUUAUCUUCAUGAGCUUCAAAUGAGAGACUGGAGUCAACAACCACACCAAGGUCUUUUACUUCUGCACAAUUUGAAACAGAAAGACCAUCAAUAGUUACUAUGAAAGAGUUCCGAUCUUCGUGGCUACUCUGUGCUGAGUUUGUGCCGAGUUGUGGGAUGAUUGACAAGCAGCAGGGUGCAACAGCGUGCAGCGAUUGGUCGAGGCGCUCUUCUGCCGAGUAUUUUGUAAACUUUAAUUGGCUGGGAAAGAGAAGCGUUCCAAGUUUUGCUGGAAAAGACCUGCCUCCCCGUCUAAAAGCGGCGAUGUCAUGUUUCAAGUUUCAAAUUUCAUCGUAAAGUGGGGCCCGCUGAUACUAUUAAAAUGGUGCUAUUGAUGUUACUCUUAGUCCACAAGGAUUAUUGUGAAGUGAAAUAAAGCAGAUGUAGUUUAAUGUAA
Long non-coding RNA from Polypterus senegalus (gray bichir), 2452 nucleotides. RefSeq lists it as uncharacterized. NCBI's taxonomy places the organism in Eukaryota, Metazoa, Chordata, Cladistia, Polypteriformes, Polypteridae. The transcript is spliced from 2 exons. The record is from RefSeq and is a predicted model, not a curated record.